RNAcentral lists this ribosomal RNA (426 nucleotides) under uncultured bacterium. RNAcentral describes it as "partial 16S ribosomal RNA". It matches the Rfam family "Bacterial small subunit ribosomal RNA", at positions 354 to 796 of the family's 1533-position model. The record is from RNAcentral.
GUGGGGAAUUUUGCGCAAUGGGGGCAACCCUGAUGGAGCAACACCGCGUGCUGGAUGAAGGCCUUCGGGUCGUAAACAGCUUUUGUAUACGAAGAAUAUGACGGUAAUAUACGAAUAAGGGUCGGCUAACUACGUGCCAGCAGCAGCGGUCAUACGUAGGACCCAAGCGUUAUCCGGAGUGACUGGGCGUAAAGAGUUGCGUAGGCGGCUUAUUAAGCGAGUAGUGAAAUCUGGUGGCUCAACCAUCAACACAUUGCUCGAACUGAUAGGCUUGAGAAUGGUAGAGGUAGUUGGAAUUUCUUGUGUAGGAGUGAAAUCCGUAGAUAUAAGAAGGAACACCAAUGGCGUAGGCAGACUACUGGACCAUUUCUGACGCUGAGGCACGAAAGCGUGGGGAGCGAACCGGAUUAGAUACCCGAGUAGUCC